Molecule: long non-coding RNA, 209 nt
Filed under: Mytilus galloprovincialis (Mediterranean mussel)
Lineage: Eukaryota; Metazoa; Mollusca; Bivalvia; Mytilida; Mytilidae
Source: RNAcentral
UGGGUUUUCUUUAGCAGUUGUUUAAAUUUCUGACCAGUUGAACAUUUUUGAUUUCAUAAAGCAAAUUAUGAUAGGGUCCGAAUUUUGAAGGAACUGCAUUAGGUGGAGAACAACACAGAGUGAAGUUACAGAAAUGCAAAAUAUCAUUUCUUUUCUAUAUAACGCAUACAUUAAUCAUUUCUAUCUUUUAAAAUAAAUUCUUAUAAUCA